GAAUAUGGGACAAUGGGGGCAACCCUGAUCCAGCCAUGCCGCGUGUGUGAAGAAGGUNNNCGGAUNGUAAAGCACUUUAAGUGNGGANGAAGGGCUUUAGGUUAAUAGCCUGAAGUUUUGACGUUACCAACAGAAUAAGAACCGGCUAACUCUGUGCCAGCAGACGCGGUAAUACAGAGGGUGCAAGCGUUAAUCGGAAUAAAUGGACGUAAAGCUCGCGUAGGUGGUUCAGUAAGAUGGGUGUGAAAUCCCCGGGCUUAACCUGGGAACUGCUUUCAUAACUGCUGAGCUAGAGUACGGUAGAGGGUAGUGGAAUUUCCUGUGUAGCGGUGAAAUGCGUAGAUAUAGGAAGGAACACCAGUGGCGAAGGCGACUACCUGGACUGAUACUGACACUGAGGUGCGAAAGCGUGGGGAGCAAACA
RNAcentral lists this ribosomal RNA (423 nucleotides) under uncultured bacterium. RNAcentral describes it as "partial 16S ribosomal RNA". It matches the Rfam family "Bacterial small subunit ribosomal RNA", at positions 359 to 774 of the family's 1533-position model. The record is from RNAcentral.